GCAGUAUCCUAACUGUGCUAAGGUAGCAUAAUCAUUAGUCUUUUAAUUGGAGACUGGUAUGAAUGGCUAAACGAGAAAUUGACUUUUUUUGUUAUAGAAAUUGAACUUAAUUUUUUAGUGAAAAAGCUAAAAUUUUUCAGAAAGACGAGAAGACCCUAUAGAGUUUUAUGCUUUAAAAUACUUUCCCUAAAUUGAUUUUUUCAGGUAAAAUAUAAAUAAGCAUUUUGUUGGGGCGACAUUAAGAUAAAAAAAACUCUUUAUUUUUUAAAUUUUUAUUUAAAUAUAAUUGAUCCUCUAAAAGAGAUCAAAAGAAAAAAUUACCUUAGGGAUAACMGCGURAUCUUUUUUGAGAGUUCUAAUCGACAAAAAGGUUUGCGACCUCGAUGUUGGACUAAAAUUUAGGCAGGGUGCAGCAGUUCUGCUUUAAGGUCUGUUCGACCUAUA
RNAcentral lists this ribosomal RNA (444 nucleotides) under Armatobalanus allium. RNAcentral's name for it is "partial 16S ribosomal RNA". It matches the Rfam family "Bacterial large subunit ribosomal RNA", at positions 1933 to 2590 of the family's 2925-position model. Lineage: Eukaryota; Metazoa; Arthropoda; Thecostraca; Balanomorpha; Balanidae. The record is from RNAcentral.